This 83-nucleotide transfer RNA is filed under the name Streptomyces umbrinus. Its description in RNAcentral is "tRNA-Arg". Lineage: Bacteria; Bacillati; Actinomycetota; Actinomycetes; Kitasatosporales; Streptomycetaceae. The record is from RNAcentral.
CUUCUGGAUCGACCGGGCGGAGGGCGUGCUGCGCUUCGGUUCCGGCGCGGGCAUCACCUGGGGUUCGGACCCUGACCGGGAGU